Molecule: unclassified non-coding RNA, 413 nt
Filed under: soil metagenome
Description: partial contains 5.8S ribosomal RNA, internal transcribed spacer 2, and large subunit ribosomal RNA
Rfam family: 5.8S ribosomal RNA (bases 1-120)
Source: RNAcentral
GAUGAAGAACGUAGCGAAAUGCGAUAAGUAAUGUGAAUUGCAGAAUUCAGUGAAUCAUCGAAUCUUUGAACGCACCUUGCGCUCUUUGGUAUUCCGAAGAGCAUGCCUGUUUGAGUGUCAUGAAAAUAUCAACCUUGACUUGGGUUUUGUGCUCUAGUCUCGGCUUGGAAUUGGGUGCUUGCCGCUUUUACGAGCGGCUCACCUUAAAUGUAUUAGCUGGAUCUGUCUUUGAGACUUGGUUUGACUUUGCGUAAUAAGUAUUUCGCUAAGGACAUUCUUCGGAGUGGCCUCGUUUCUAGGACGCUUGUCCGCUUUCCAAUACAAGUUCCACCUCGUGGACAUGACUUUUUAUUAUCUGGCCUCAAAUCAGGUAGGACUACCCGCUGAACUUAAGCAUAUCAAUAAGCGGAGGA